This 489-nucleotide ribosomal RNA is filed under the name uncultured bacterium. RNAcentral's name for it is "bacterial SSU rRNA". It matches the Rfam family "Bacterial small subunit ribosomal RNA", at positions 28 to 507 of the family's 1533-position model. The record is from RNAcentral.
GAUGAACGCUAGCGGCAGGCUUAAUACAUGCAAGUCGUGGGGCAGCAGGUUUGUAGCAAUACAGAUGCUGGCGACCGGCAAAACGGGUGCGGAACACGUACAGAACCUUCCUUUGAGCGGGGAAUAGCCCGGAGAAAUUUGGAUUAAUACCCCAUAGUAUAAUGAAGUGGCAUCACUUUAUUAUUAAAGAUUUAUCACUCGAAGAUGGCUGUGCGGCUGAUUAGGUAGUUGGCGGGGUAAAGGCCCACCAAGCCUGCGAUCAGUAACUGGUGUGAGAGCACGACCAGUCACACGGGCACUGAGACACGGGCCCGACUCCUACGGGAGGCAGGCAGUAAGGAAUAUUGGUCAAUGGAGGCAACUCUGAACCAGCCAUGCCGCGUGGAGGAUGAAGGUCCUCUGGAUUGUAAACUUCUUUUAUAUGGGACGAAAAAGGCUUUUCUAAGUCGUCUGACGGUACCAUAUGAAUAAGCACCGGCUAACUCCGUG